This 368-nucleotide ribosomal RNA is filed under the name uncultured organism. Its description in RNAcentral is "bacterial SSU rRNA". It matches the Rfam family "Bacterial small subunit ribosomal RNA", at positions 526 to 896 of the family's 1533-position model. The record is from RNAcentral.
CGUAGGUGGCAAGCGUUGUCCGGAUUUAUUGGGUUUAAAGGGUGCGUAGGCGGUUCUGUAAGUCAGUGGUGAAAUCCGGCAGCUCAACUGUCGAUGUGCCAUUGAUACUGCAGAACUUGAGUACAGACGAGGUAGGCGGAAUUGACGGUGUAGCGGUGAAAUGCUUAGAUAUCGUCAAGAACACCGAUAGCGAAGGCAGCUUACUAGACUGUAACUGACGCUGAUGCACGAAAGUGUGGGGAUCAAACAGGAUUAGAUACCCUGGUAGUCCACACCGUAAACGAUGAUUACUCGAUGUUAGCGAUACACAGUUAGCGUCUUAGCGAAAGCGAUAAGUAAUCCACCUGGGGAGUACGCCGGCAACGGUG